CUAUGGUCUGGUGCUGUCUGCUAUGGUCUGUCUGGUCUGGUGCUGUCUGCUAUGGUCUGUCUCGCCUGGUGCUGUCUGCUAUGGUCUGUCUGGUCUGGUGCUGUCUGCUAUGGUCGGUCUGCUAUGGUCUGUCUGGUCUCGUGCUGUCUGCUAUGGUCUGUCUGGUCUGGUGCUGUCUGCUAUGGUCUGUCUGGCCAGGUGCUGUCUUGUCUGGUGCUGUCUGAUAUGGUCUGUCUUGUCUGGUGCUGUUUGCUAUGGUCUGUCCGGUCUGGUGCUGUCUGCUAUGGUCUGUCUGGCCAGGUGCUGUCUGCUAUGGUCUGUCUGCUAUGGUCUGUCUGGUCUGGUGCUGUCUGCUAUGGUCUGUCUAGUCUGGUGCUAUCUGCUAUUGUCUG
Oncorhynchus tshawytscha (Chinook salmon) is the source of this 392-nucleotide long non-coding RNA. The record is from Ensembl. Lineage: Eukaryota; Metazoa; Chordata; Actinopteri; Salmoniformes; Salmonidae.